This 2528-nucleotide long non-coding RNA is filed under the name Oreochromis niloticus (Nile tilapia). RNAcentral describes it as "lncRNA (ENSONIG00000031641.1)". The record is from RNAcentral. Lineage: Eukaryota; Metazoa; Chordata; Actinopteri; Cichliformes; Cichlidae.
CUUUUAAUGAGUUUAGAUUUUUAAAGCAUUUUGUUUGUGUCAUGAGUUCAUUUCUGUAGCGGUUUUUAGACUGGUGGACAGCGAAAACAGAGUCGAUAAUUGAAUCAGAGAAAUUUCUCCCCGAGCAUCGCGGAUGGCUGGUCUGAUAAGGAGGUUCUUAGCUUGGCAGGACAGGAAGCAGCCUUUCCGCAUUCCAAGGUGGCAGAAAGUUUUCUUUUGGUCUUUGGUGCCCCUUCACAUGGUGCCAUACAGGGCAGCCUCCUGUCAGCAGACCUGCAUGAACUGUGUUGCUUUACCGAGCAGCGAUGAAGAAAGCCGUUCCUCACUACUCCAGAUGGGCAGAAAGACGAUCCACCGUGGUUUAUGCGGUUCGCUCAGCCACGAUUGGCUCCUGGAGGAUGCUCACGAUGGGGGCGGAGUACUUAGACACCUGGGCUCGGUCACCUGACAGGAGAGAACGUCCUGAGAAGCUGGUCAGAGAGGAGGAGGAGGAGGAGGAGGAGGAGGAGGAGCCGGGGCCAUCAGAUACUGGAGAGCAGGGGGAGUCCUCAUGGAUAUCCGCUGACAAGGACCCAGAACAGAAGUACGAGACUGUUCUGCACCUGGACGGGAUGAGCGGACGAAAAAUGGGAGAUGGUGUCCAGGAGGCCAUAAAGAAGCAUGACAACCUGAAGAGCACCUCCACUAAUCAGAGGUGAGACAGUUUGGGUGUGGCUGGUUGGGAAUCAUACUGUUGGUAGACUAAUCCUGUCACCAGAUCCCGUGCCUCUGGAUUUUUUCCAUUUUAAAUUUUUUUAACAGCUUUUCCAGCACAAAGUGGACAAACAUCUGCUGAUUCAAUGUUCUAACUACAGCACAAGUAUCUGUAACUCUUAUUGCAGUAAAUCAGCUAAACCACCAGAUGUCUCCUCAGUCAUAUCUAAUGAGUUUGCAUCCAUGAUCAGCAUUUCACAGCAACUACUUUAACAUGAACCGAAUACUUUAGAUACAAAAAAGGUAAGAAAAGUCUGAAGUUUUAUGGCUAAUGGUGAAAUGUUGUCUCAUGUUCAUGAAUAAACGGCACCAUGCAAUUUAUCUUCAAAAUGAAGUGUACUCAGUCUGAAAAGGCAACACCUUCCUUUAUAAAAACAGUUGCAAUAUAGUGACAAAGGUUCAAUUUAUAAAAUAAGUUUAUUUAUCCCCAAAGUUGUGAAAUUCCUGUGUUACAGAAGCUAAAACAUUAAAUAUAGUCUAUAAAACCUUAAAUAAUGUAUAAAGGUAAAAAAAGAAAUAAAGAAAUUACAUAACCAAACAAAUACUUAAAUGAAGCAAAGGUAAUACUAACAUUGGAGCUCAUUUACAUAAUAAAGAAAAACAAGAAAAAGAUGCCCAGUAAGAAAAUGAAAAUCAUGAAACCCAUUAAAAAUUUUAUUUAAAGUGUUAAAUAAUACAAGAAACUGGCUUAACAAAGCAUAAUAUAUAUAAAAAAUUAAAUAAAGCAACAUGAAAAUGAAUAAAAAAUGGCACACUAAACAAACAUGAGAUUACAUUAAAGUCAUACCAGAGUGUAAAGUGAGCAGGUCAUGUAGAUUAUGUUUGUUUGGCUAAUGUGAAUUAUGUGGACACGUCUUGUGUUCCAGCGUCUACACAAUUUUGGUCAUUUUGGUUUACACUCACUUUUUACUUUAUUAGCACCUACAAUGUCUAAUCAGCCAGUCAUGUGGCAGCAGCUCAGAAGAAAGACUUCCUGAAGUUGAAACUGAACAUCAGAAUGGGGAACAAAGGGGAUUUCAGUGACUGUGAGCGUGAUAUGGUUAUUGGUUGUUGGACUGAGUGUUUUAGAACCUGCUGAUCUGCUAGGAUUUUGCCACACAACCAUCUCUAGGGUUUACAGAGAGUGGUCUAAAAAAAGAGAAAAUUUCCAGUGAGCGAGAAUUCUCUGGGUUAAAACACAGAGCUGCUACGUUGAUGUCAGAGCAGAAUGAUCACACUGCUCCGAGAAGGUGGAAAUGCUACAACCAAUGUUUGCAGAAGAGCAUCUCCGAAUGCAUAACAUGUGAAACCCUGCAGCAGAUAGACUAAAGAAGCAGAAGACCAGACCAGGUGCUCUCCUGGCAGCUAAGAAGUGGAAACUAAGACCACAUGGGCUCACCAUGAUUGAAUGGCAGAAGAUUACAACAAUGUUGCCUGGUGUGAUGAGCUUCAAUUUGUCCUGCAAUGUUCAGAUGAUAGAACCAAAAUCUUACAUGAACAACAUAAAAGCAUCCAUCCAUCCUGCUUUGUAUCAGCAGACUGCUGGUGGUGUGAUGCUGUGAGGGAUAUUUCUUGGCACACGUUAGGGCUCAUUAGUACCAACUGAACAUCGCUUAAACACCACAUGCUACUUGAAGGACAAACACAAAGGAAACUACAGAGAAACAAGCCGUUAACAAUCAUCUGUUUGCUUUAAAAAGACACCGGUACAACAAUUCUUCUAUGAAUAUUAAUAGGAGGUGACUCACAUGAAGCUGAAGUAAUGACAUGCAGUAAAACAGGAAACUGGAUUCAGA